This 3056-nucleotide long non-coding RNA is filed under the name Sparus aurata (gilthead seabream). RNAcentral's name for it is "lncRNA (ENSSAUG00010003985.1)". Lineage: Eukaryota; Metazoa; Chordata; Actinopteri; Spariformes; Sparidae. The record is from RNAcentral.
UAAAAAAAAAAACUUGUACCUGACUUUCCACCAGCUUGAGGAGAUAAUGACUGCUUUUCUUAAAUUUUGGGGUGAACUAAUCCUUUAACUUCGAUGCUUCCAAAUAUUCAUUUUGAGUGGGGAGCAGCGCAAACACAGGCUGAAUCAUACAACAACAAAAACACGAAUCCUCACAAAAGUGUCAGGAGAUCUUCGUGAUGUCGUGUCCGCCACCACCUGUCUGUCCUCGGGCACCUCCUGGCAUUCAAACGCAAAAAAAAAACAAAAAACAAAAAAACAAUGCGUGUACUCCCCCAAUCCUCCCUCCUCCCCCGCCAAUCUGUUUAAUCGAUCAGCCUCGGACGACCUGUGACACUAACUAGAUUACCAAUUCACACAUCACUCGCUUCUCUGCAGGUCUAAUCGGUCCUGACAGAAACAGAGCCCGGAGCCCUCCUCCCACGCGCCUUCUCCAGCCCACUCCUCUCUUUAUCUGGGAGCUCCUCCGCUCCGAUCCUCAGAGCAGCAGGCGCCCCGGUCAGCGCAGCUCUCUCCUGCAUCCGCGGAGAGGACUGGACUCGGUCGCCUUGUUGCACCAUCAACAGUUUCUUUCUGGAUUUUUUUUAUCCCUCCCGGCCGCCAACAUGAGACUUGUUUGGGUUUUUGUUGCGGUUGCGGCUUUGCUCACAGAAAAUCAAGCGCUUCCAGUGGCAAAAGAAGGACAGAGAGAAGAUGUGGUAACACGAUGCUUGGUUGAAGUCUUGUCCAAAGCUCUCUCCAAACCGGACUCCCAGCUGGAUCAGCAAUGCAAAGAAAUCCUCCAAGCAGGGGUUAAAAACGCUCCACUGGACAAAAAGACUACGGAGGGGACGGCGACCAAUGGAGAGGCGGUCAGAGGUCACCCCGAGGGGACUGAGGCAAAGGGAGCAGACGUUAAAGACAUCGAGGCUCUCCUGAAAUCUGUCGAGGAAAAACGAGAAAUCCCAGAAGACGAGCGCAGCCAAGAGUCCUGGAGCCUGGGCGACGAGAAGGACAAGAGACACGAGGACGAGGCGGAUGAAGCAGAGCGGGAGAAGAGAAGCGGCUGGAGGCCCGGAAGACACCACCAACAACGGGCGCACAAACGAGGGGAAGAGGAAGAAGAGGAAGACAACCAGCGCAGUCAGGAGAGCUGGGGGCUGGAGAAGAGGAGGUUAGACGAAGAGGAGGAAGACAAGGAGAAGAGGAACUGGAGACCCGGAAGAUACCACCAAAGGAAACAAAAACGAGAUGAGGAAACUUUAGGAGAUGAGAGGGAGGAGCCCGAGGAAGAACGUAGCCAAGAGUCCUGGGACAUAGCCAAAAGGCACGGGACCACGCAUCGCUACCUACACAAGACAAAGCUCCACAAACGUGGCGAGGAGGAUGAAGACGGCGAGCGCAGCCAGGAAUAUUGGGGCCUUGACGACGAGAGGGACAAGAGGGACUGGAGGGCCGGAAGGUUCCACCAGAGGAGACACAAACGUGACGAAGAGCUUGCAGAAGAACCAAGAGAAGAACCAGAAGAGGAACGCAGCCAGGAAUCCUGGGACUUUGAUACUGGAAAAAACAAGCGCGAUUGGAGGGCUGGAAGGUUCCACCAGAGGAGACACAAGCGUGACGAAGAGCUCUCUGAGGAAGCCAGAGAAGAACCCGAUGAGGAACGCAGCCAGGAAUCCUGGGACUUUGAUACUGGAAAAAACAAGCGCGAUUGGAGGGCUGGAAGGUUCCACCAGAGGAGGCACAAGCGUGACGAAGAGCUCUCCGAGGAAGCCAGAGACGAACCCGAUGAAGAACGCAGCCAGGAAUCCUGGGACUUUGAUACUGGAAAAAACAAGCGCGAUUGGAGGGCUGGAAGGUUCCACCAGAGGAGGCACAAGCGUGACGAAGAGCUCUCAGAGGAAGCCAGAGACGAACCCGAUGAGGAACGCAGCCAAGAAUCAUGGGACUUUGAUACUGGAAGGGACAAGAGAGACUGGAGGGCCGGCAGAUUCCACCAGAGGAGACACAAGCGUGACGAAGAGCUCUCCGAGGAAGCCAGGGAUGAACCGGACGAGGAACGCAGCCAAGAAUCAUGGGACUUCGAUACUGGAAGGGACAAGAGAGACUGGAGGGCCGGCAGAUUCCACCAGAGGAGACACAAGCGUGACGAAGAGCUCUCCGAGGAAGCCAGGGACGAACCGGACGAGGAACGCAGCCAAGAAUCAUGGGACUUCGAUACUGGAAGGGACAAGAGAGACUGGAGGGCCGGCAGAUUCCACCAGAGGAGACACAAGCGUGACGAAGAGCUCUCAAAAGAACCAAGAGAAGAACCAGAUGAGGAACGCAGCCAAGAAUCAUGGGACUUUGAUACUGGAAGGGACAAGAGAGACUGGAGGGCCGGCAGAUUCCACCAGAGGAGACACAAGCGUGAUGAAGAGCUCUCAGAGGAGGCCAGAGAUGAACCAGACGAGGAACGCAGCCAAGAAUCAUGGGACUUUGAUACUGGAAGGGACAAGAGAGACUGGAGGGCCGGCAGAUUCCACCAGAGGAGACACAAGCGUGACGAAGAGCUCUCAAAAGAACCAAGAGAAGAACCAGAUGAAGAACGCAGCCAGGAAUCAUGGGACUUUGAUACUGGAAGAGACAAAAGAGAAUGGAGGGCCGGCAGAUUCCACCAGAGGAAACACAAGCGUGACGAAGAGCUCUCAGAGGAGGCCAAAGAAGAACCGGACGAGGAGCGCAGCCAGGAAUCCUGGGGACUGGACAAAAGAAACGAAGCUCUGAGGUAUCUGGCAGAGAAACGCAAUCCCUGGAUUUUCAGAGGCUAUUACCAUCCUGCGUGGUAUAAGAGGGAUUCAGAUGAGAAUGCUGCAACCUCAAAUAAGAUGGACCAACUGGCCAAGUUGCUGAGCUACAAGAUAAACCAGCUGGCAAACCACUCGAAUCCAGAGGAGGCAAAGAGGAGCACGCAACAGAAAACCCUCACUGCACAGGAGGAGAAAGAGCUGCAGAACCUCGCAGCGAUGGACAUGGAGUUGCAGAAAAUCGCUGCCAAAUUGCAUGACAACAGUGCGUAA